UUAUAAUAGCCUCACCCGCCUUGGCUUCAAGUUCAUCUGGUCGUUCAGCAGCAAAAUCGAAUUGCACAAUUCCAAAUAGCGGCUGUGAACCAGAAUGGAGUUCACUGAUUGAGCUCCUAGUGGUACUAGAAUUGGUGGUUAAGUCUGUAAAUGAUAUUUGCCCGCUGCCAUCACUGUCUCGUUCCGAUUUGACCGUUUUUCCUAUCUCUUCAAAAUGAGAUACUGGAACAAAGCCACGAGUACCUGCAGCGGGAUUACAAACUUCGUACCAAGCCUUGUCAUUUUCACGACCUAUAACAUGAAAAAAGUCACCCUUGGCAAAUGAAACUUCAGUUGCUUUACGAGCUGUGUAAUCAUAAAGGGCCCUAAUAACUUUUCUCGGGGGUUCAAUUGAAAAAGGAUCUUUAUCAAGAAUUCGACUAUGAGUUUUCCAAGUCCUUUUAAUCUAGAGAUGGUUAAUAAUUGAUUAAUUAACAAAAAAUUUUUUUUGAAGCAUACCUUUAACAUAGAGACUGGAAUUAGAACAAAAAGAAAGAAGGUAGUAGAACAAAAUUUGAAAUUAUAUUACAAUAAUCUCAGAAAGAUUCUAACUAUUAGAAUUCCCUGCAACAAAAAGAUUUAACUUAAUUUUCAUAAAACGAUCAAGUGGAAAUUAUAAUUACAGACAAACUGUUAAAGCGAUAACCUACUGUAAGGGUAUAUGAAUUAAGAUCCGAGAUAGCAAAAGGAAUGUAUGAAGAAAAGGCAAAAAGAAUGGCACGGAUUUAAAGAAAGCAAUAUAUUGUAAAUGAAUCAAUAAUUAAUUUCCAAACACUUUGAAAACGCUGUCGUUUUUAUGAAAGAUGAGUAUACAGGAUAUAAUAUUCUCACAAAACAGACAAAAUCGAUUUGUUAGCACGUUGUAAUUAGAAAGAACGAAGAAGCUAGCAGACACUCAAUUAUAGUGACUGAACUGCUGAGCCCUGAAAGAUAGAUGAAGGAAGAAAAGGACGGGAAAAGAGGCUUAAUAUAGAACAAUGAGAGUUGGUCCAAGCAGCAAAGUAAUAUAUUAGAAGAAUACAAACUCAACAAUUUUAAACAAGGAAACGUAUUAA
Molecule: non-coding RNA, 1094 nt
Organism: Schizosaccharomyces pombe (fission yeast)
Lineage: Eukaryota; Fungi; Ascomycota; Schizosaccharomycetes; Schizosaccharomycetales; Schizosaccharomycetaceae
Source: the annotation of a GenBank genome assembly